UCCUCCCUUCCAGUUCCACAACUCCUUCCUUUUCCAGAAACUUCACCUAUUAACUAUCCUCACAGGUCACCCAGACGGCCUCUGAAGAAUCAGCUUCAAACCACAUGAGUUUGGACAAACAGCGUUCCAAAUCCAUGGGACAUCAAAGUUACCUAAAAAAAGAACAGCGAAACAAGAAGAAAAGGAAAGCAAGAAGGGAAAGAGGCCCGAAGAUGAUGAGGAGACUAGAAGGACCUGAAGAGAGGAAGGAGUGGAGGAAGAGGGCUGAGAAGGAGAGGUGGGAGAGAAGGAAGAAACGCGCUCUCACCGCUCCGGAAGCGGCUGAAACAACAGGUCAAGGCACAAAGUUCUGCCCCAACUUUGUGAGAAGGGAGGUCCCAAAAGGUGCUGACUCUCCUACCUCACACCAAACUCAAAAACUAGUUUGAGGGGCGCCUGGGUGGCUCAGUCGUUAAGCGUCUGCCUUCGGCUCAGGGCGUGAUCCCGGCGUUCUAGGA
This is a long non-coding RNA of Ailuropoda melanoleuca (giant panda), 497 nucleotides long. RefSeq lists it as uncharacterized. The transcript has 3 exons. NCBI's taxonomy places the organism in Eukaryota, Metazoa, Chordata, Mammalia, Carnivora, Ursidae. The record is from RefSeq and is a predicted model, not a curated record.